UUAGAUGGCGAUGUUAUUUCAAAAUUCGUCAAACAACACUUUCGAUCUUAAUCUCGUAUCGUACCUAGAAUACAUAUUAUAAAUUAGACCACAAUAUUUCUAAUAUUAUCAAUAAUUUCUGUUUAAAUUUAUCAAUAAUUACUUAUUUUUACUCGACGGAAUUUUUUGAAAGGAAGGAAAACAUCAAUGUCCGAUAUGCAGUAAAACAUUUGGAAACGAACGAUAUUUACGAAGACACGCGCGAAUUCACACGGAUGACAAGCCGUUUAAAUGCGACACCUGCGAAAGUUGCUUUUUGUAUCAGAGCAAUUUAAGACGGCACCAAGCGGCGCAUUCGGAUGAAAGACCAUACAAGUGCAAUUACGAAGGAUGUAAAUGGAGCUUUAAACAAAACUAUGAAUUAAGUCGGCACGUGUACAGAAUGCAUCCUCAAGAGAUUUUAUCUAAAACGUCACCGAAUGACCCGAAGAUAGAAAGCCGUAGAUGUGAUAUUUGCGGGAAACUUUUUUAUUGUCCAGCCGCUUUAAGAAUUCACUCGAGAAGACACACCAAAGAGCGGCCAUUCUUCUGUAAAUUUUGCAACUGCACGUUUCCAUACCAAACUUCCUUAUACAAACACAUCAAAAGGAUCCACUCGAAAGAGGAAACUCUAUCUUCCUGCCAGGACGUAAAAGACGAUAUUAAAGAUGUUGUAAGCGAGAAAAA
RNAcentral lists this unclassified non-coding RNA (705 nucleotides) under Centruroides sculpturatus (bark scorpion). Its description in RNAcentral is "zinc finger protein 14-like, transcript variant X1". Lineage: Eukaryota; Metazoa; Arthropoda; Arachnida; Scorpiones; Buthidae. The record is from RNAcentral.